GUCAAAGUAAUAUUUUUCAAAACGGAUUACUAUGCGUGAUGUUACAAAUAUGCACUACUGCUAAUAUUUCGGGUUUUUUCCUUUGCCCCUUUAUAUAUACGCCUUAUCAUAUAGUAUAUAACUAGAAGCAAGAGCUGGGAAUCUCUAUUCCCAUCAUGUGGCAUGUAUAGACCCGAGUAUAAUUAUAUGUUAUCCGUUAAUCAAAACUAUGGAAAAAUCGUGCAGUUUCACACUUUCGAAAAGGAUACACGUGUCCAUUUCCAUCAGAUGUGAGUGUCUCAGCUGUAAAUUAGCAAUAUCGGUCAGUGGCGUUUUUCCGAUAGCGGCCAUAUUGUGGAAAAUCGACUUUGUCGGAUAUGAGUGUCUCGGUUGUAAAUUAACAAUAUCGAUCAGUAACGCGUUCAUUUCGAUGGCGGCCAUAUUGUCGAAGAUCGACAACUUUGUCGGAUGUGGGUGUCUCGGCUGUAAAUUAACAAUAUCGAUCAGUAACGUCCUUUCUGAUGGCAACCGUAUUUGUCUAAGUACUACGAAAAGCCAUCGAGUUUCCCAAUAAGUAAGUCUAAUAGUACAGGGUGUUUCAAAAAAAAACGCAACCACUUAAAUAUGCAAUUGAAAAUGGCUCUUAAUUAAUCCUUCAUUUAAAAUGCUAAAAGUCAUUUUAGCUGAACUGUGAUGCAAACCCGACCAAUAUUAUACAUAGUAUAUUCUUGCAUAUUUAAGUAAUAAUCUAAUAAUAUAUUCCGCCGGUUUUCCAUACUAGGCGGAAUUUUUCGAUCGAAACUAAAUCUUUCCCUCGAUUUUCUUUUCAAUUGUGACCGGUGAAGGGAAUCUGCCACGGUCGAAGUCUCACAAUUGACGCCUAAUUAUGGAUUAUAAGUAUUGCGAAAUACAUGAUGACACACGCAAACUCGCUCGCGGACAACCACGCUGAUAUCCAAGACUGAUGUAAAAAUGCUUUGACAAAGAUUGAAGAAAAUACGGGAAAGCGCUAUAGAACAGGCAUGUUUUCAUCAAGUAGAUAAAACGAAUCAACCUGGUUGUUCUGACGUUGGUGAUCAAAGUGUCGCGCAACAGCGAGGUUUCUUGCCUCGGAGGCUGUUAUUCGUGUCGCCUUUUUUGCCCAGACGGGAGAAAAUGCUUUUCCCGCCGUGUGCAUGGGCGUGAAAAUUAAAACGAGAUUGGUCUCUGGAAUAGAAAGAAGUUGUUGAAUCGUCACAUAAAAAAAUCAACUUUUCAAGAGAAAUACUGUGUCAUACAUGGGAAUACUUUAUUAAAGGUGAUAAGUUGGACUGAAUAGUUGACAAAAUAUCA
Molecule: long non-coding RNA, 1311 nt
Organism: Dendronephthya gigantea
Lineage: Eukaryota; Metazoa; Cnidaria; Anthozoa; Malacalcyonacea; Nephtheidae
Exons: 3
Source: RefSeq, a predicted model, not a curated record